Rhinopithecus roxellana (golden snub-nosed monkey) is the source of this 249-nucleotide long non-coding RNA. RefSeq lists it as uncharacterized. Lineage: Eukaryota; Metazoa; Chordata; Mammalia; Primates; Cercopithecidae. The transcript has 3 exons. The record is from RefSeq and is a predicted model, not a curated record.
GACAUGCGUGCUGUCAGCAGAUGGGAGAGAGGAUCGAGAAAGAUGGAGGGAGGCUGCUGUAACACCUGUUCUGGUUGGGAUUCUGAAUGAAUAUGAAAGUGGCUCUCCCUGUGAGAGGAGUAUGCUUCUUGAUCACUGAAGGCUGACUAGGCGAUGCAGAAGGUGUUACUCACCAUUCAAACUUUUCAACUUUGCCACAGCAUCCUAUUCCUGGAAAUCCAAAGUAUCACAGCAUCUGAAAGGUACAGG